RNAcentral lists this unclassified non-coding RNA (425 nucleotides) under Nipponochloritis oscitans iwatensis. RNAcentral describes it as "partial miscellaneous RNA". The record is from RNAcentral. Lineage: Eukaryota; Metazoa; Mollusca; Gastropoda; Stylommatophora; Camaenidae.
CUCCAGCCCGGCGUWUGGCGUUAGCUGUCUCGGCAGGCUGCGUGAGAUGGCUCGGCAUUACGGGCUCUCUCCCAGCGCACGCCAGGUAGCGAGGCAGUCGUUCGGUCUAAUCUGUGUGUGUCCGCAGCUCGCAGCCGCAACGGACGGUUUGAGCGGGCUAGAGAAAUUAUAGUGUUCGGCUCGGGUCUCGAGUGGCACGCGCCCUCUCGAUGGGUGGCGUGCCGGCAAUCAGAAAGCUGGCAUAGCUUGUGUGUGGUUUCGGUCAGUCCUGCCCGGCGUAGCAGGAGCUUGUCGGCAGGCGUCCAGUGGUUUGCAUGUAUCGGCGGGCAGCCGGCGGAGGGCGCGCUGAGCGAUGACUUCCCCGGGCCCGUGCGUACGUGAAUAGUCCUAUUCGGUCCGACAGAUAUCUGGUUGAUCCUGCCAGU